AGAGGGUUAGUCCAAAAUAAGACCUCUGAUUUCGGCUCAGAAAAUUAUGGUUUAAACCCAUAACCCCCUU
RNAcentral lists this transfer RNA (70 nucleotides) under Opsariichthys sp. 'chengtui'. RNAcentral describes it as "tRNA-Arg". It matches the Rfam family "tRNA". From Rfam's summary of the family: Transfer RNA (tRNA) molecules are approximately 80 nucleotides in length. Their secondary structure includes four short double-helical elements and three loops (D, anti-codon, and T loops). The record is from RNAcentral. Lineage: Eukaryota; Metazoa; Chordata; Actinopteri; Cypriniformes; Xenocyprididae.